UACGAAGGGUGCUAGCGUUGUUCGGAAUCACUGGGCGUAAAGCGCGCGUAGGCGGCGACACAAGUCAGGGGUGAAAUCCCAGAGCUUAACUCUGGAACUGCCUUUGAAACUGUGUUGCUAGAGUACUGGAGGGGAGCGGGGAAUUCCUAAUGUAGAGGUGAAAUUCGUAGAUAUUAGGAGGAACACCGGUGGCGAAGGCGCCGCUCUGGACAGUAACUGACGCUGAGGCGCGAAAGCGUGGGGAUCAAACAGG
Molecule: ribosomal RNA, 253 nt
Filed under: uncultured bacterium
Lineage: Bacteria
Description: partial 16S ribosomal RNA
Rfam family: Bacterial small subunit ribosomal RNA
Source: RNAcentral